AUUGAACGCUGGCGGCAGGCUUAACACAUGCAAGUCGAGCGGGGGAAGGUAGCUUGCUACCGGUCCUAGCGGCGGACGGGUGAGUAAUGCUUAGGAAUCUGCCUAUUAGGGGGGGACAACAUCUCGAAAGGGAUGCUAAUACCGCAUACGUCCUACGGGAGAAAGGAGGGGAUCUUCGGACCUUGGGCUAAUAGAUGAGCCUAAGUCGGAUUAGCUAGUUGGUGGGGUAAAGGCCUACCAAGGCGACGAUCUGUAGCGGGUCUGAGAGGAUGAUCCGCCACACUGGGACUGAGACACGGCCCAGACUCCUACGGGAGGCAGCAGUGGGGAAUAUUGGACAAUGGGGGGAACCCUGAUCCAGCCAUGCCGCGUGUGUGAAGAAGGCCUUAUGGUUGUAAAGCACUUUAAGCGAGGAGGAGGCUACUUUAGCUAAUACCUAGAGAUAGUGGACGUUACUCGCAGAAUAAGCACCGGCUAACUCUGUGCCAGCCGCCGCAGUAA
Molecule: ribosomal RNA, 501 nt
Filed under: uncultured bacterium
Lineage: Bacteria
Description: partial 16S ribosomal RNA
Rfam family: Bacterial small subunit ribosomal RNA
Source: RNAcentral